This 254-nucleotide ribosomal RNA is filed under the name uncultured bacterium. RNAcentral describes it as "partial 16S ribosomal RNA". It matches the Rfam family "Bacterial small subunit ribosomal RNA", at positions 524 to 776 of the family's 1533-position model. The record is from RNAcentral.
UACGUAGGGUGCGAGCGUUGUCCGGAAUUAUUGGGCGUAAAGAGCUCGUAGGCGGUCUGUCGCGUCGAUCGUGAAAACUUGGGGCUUAACCCUGAGCUUGCGGUCGAUACGGGCAUGACUGGAGUUCGGCAGGGGAGACUGGAAUUCCUGGUGUAGCGGUGAAAUGCGCAGAUAUCAGGAGGAACACCGGUGGCGAAGGCGGGUCCCUGGGCCGAUACUGACGCUGAGGAGCGAAAGCGUGGGGAGCGAACAGG